Molecule: long non-coding RNA, 139 nt
Organism: Myotis brandtii (Brandt's bat)
Lineage: Eukaryota; Metazoa; Chordata; Mammalia; Chiroptera; Vespertilionidae
Exons: 2
Source: RefSeq, a predicted model, not a curated record
UUUCAGCUGAACCGGUUUGGCUCAGUGGAUAGAGCGUCAGCCUGCGGACUCAAGGGUCCUGGUUUCGAUUCCGGUGAGGGGCACAUGCCCGGGUUGUGGGCUUGGUCUCCCGUCGGGGACGUGCAGGAGGCAGCCAAUC